This 253-nucleotide ribosomal RNA is filed under the name uncultured bacterium. RNAcentral describes it as "partial 16S ribosomal RNA". It matches the Rfam family "Bacterial small subunit ribosomal RNA", at positions 524 to 776 of the family's 1533-position model. The record is from RNAcentral.
UACGUAGGGUGCGAGCGUUGUCCGGAAUUAUUGGGCGUAAAGAGCUUGUAGGCGGUUUGUCGCGUCUGCUGUGAAAAUCCGGGGCUCAACCCCGGACUUGCAGUGGGUACGGGCAGACUAGAGUGUGGUAGGGGAGACUGGAAUUCCUGGUGUAGCGGUGAAAUGCGCAGAUAUCCGGAAGAACACCCGUGGCGAAAGCGGCUCUCUGGAACGGUACUGACGCUGAGACGCGAAAGCGUGGGGAGCGAACAGG